AAGCUGUCAACGGUGAGCGAAGGGUAUACAUAUGAGAUGCUUGCAAACCCAGGCCUGGGGGAAAGGUGCCAGAGCGCUCUGGCUUGGCGGAUUUUCGAUAUUAUAUGCAGUGCCAGUUUCGCCCUUCAGUAACACGUUGCCAAGCUGCGGAGUUAAACCGUUGCACAGUGUUGUGUGUUUCCUUGUGGAUCAAAACUCUACUGCUGCAUUGGUUUUUUACGUGGUGUUGGUGGUGCGGCCAUUCG
This 245-nucleotide long non-coding RNA is filed under the name Volvox carteri. Its description in RNAcentral is "long non-coding RNA (VCAR_LNC002313)". Lineage: Eukaryota; Viridiplantae; Chlorophyta; Chlorophyceae; Chlamydomonadales; Volvocaceae. The record is from RNAcentral.